RNAcentral lists this non-coding RNA (22 nucleotides) under Arabidopsis thaliana (thale cress). The record is from RNAcentral. Lineage: Eukaryota; Viridiplantae; Streptophyta; Magnoliopsida; Brassicales; Brassicaceae.
CCUUUGUCGAGACAGGAUACCU